UUUGAUUCCAGCCAUGUACUGAAUGGCCUUCUUCCUCUCUAGCUCACAUUGAUCAACGAUGUGCUUCUUGAAAAAAAUAUAAAACACCUUUAGAGAUGCAUUAACAGAACUUUAGCUACAUAAAAAAUAACUUGAAGCUAUAUACCUUAGUGUGUUUCUGGUCCCAAUCUUGAAAAGUGGUUGAAGUGCAUGUACAAAUCUCCGUAAGCCUGCAUGAUCAACCAUGGAAAAGGGGGCAUUCAU
RNAcentral lists this long non-coding RNA (243 nucleotides) under Setaria italica (foxtail millet). RNAcentral's name for it is "long non-coding RNA (SITA_LNC004947)". The record is from RNAcentral. Lineage: Eukaryota; Viridiplantae; Streptophyta; Magnoliopsida; Poales; Poaceae.